Long non-coding RNA from Lolium rigidum, 271 nucleotides. RefSeq lists it as uncharacterized. Lineage: Eukaryota; Viridiplantae; Streptophyta; Magnoliopsida; Poales; Poaceae. The record is from RefSeq and is a predicted model, not a curated record. The transcript has 4 exons.
AAUUGUUGUGUUUUGAUUGCAGUUUCGUUACCCGGUUUGCUUUGGCACAUAGAGUGCUUACAGAUCAAGCCCUCUAUUUGGCUGCUUUGAGACAACGGCAUGUUCUGCAGCUCGGGGAGUCGUCGGCGGCGGCAGAUGGGUCCUGCACCUUCAAGUUUAAAUAUUUCCUUAUGAUGCAGUGAGAUAAUAUGCCAGCUAAAGCAAUGGCAACUCCAGGAAAAUCGUGUGUUUGCUGCUGCUAAUAAAAUGCAGAUCCAAUUAGUGUCCGUCG